Molecule: transfer RNA, 58 nt
Filed under: bacterium
Lineage: Bacteria
Description: tRNA-Ala
Rfam family: tRNA
About the family: Transfer RNA (tRNA) molecules are approximately 80 nucleotides in length. Their secondary structure includes four short double-helical elements and three loops (D, anti-codon, and T loops).
Source: RNAcentral
UAGCUCAGCUGGAAGAGCACCACAAUGGCAUUGUGGGGGUCAGGGGUUCGAACCCCCU